RNAcentral lists this ribosomal RNA (406 nucleotides) under uncultured bacterium. RNAcentral's name for it is "partial 16S ribosomal RNA". It matches the Rfam family "Bacterial small subunit ribosomal RNA", at positions 28 to 526 of the family's 1533-position model. The record is from RNAcentral.
GACGAACGCUGGCGGCAGGCCUAACACAUGCAAGUCGAGCGGAGCGGCGGACGGGUGAGUAAUGCCUAGGAAUCUGCCUGGUAGUGGGGGAUAACGUCCGGAAACGGGCGCUAAUACCGCAUACUAUCAGAUGAGGCUAGGUCGGAUUAGCUAGUUGGUGGGGUAAAGGCCGACCAAGGCGACGAUCCGUAACUGGUCUGAGAGGAUGAUCAGUCACACGGGAACUGAGACACGGUCCAGACUCCUACGGGAGGCAGCAGUGGGGAAUAUUGGACAAUGGGCGAAAGCCGAAACCAGCCAGGCCGGGGGUGUGAAGAAGGUCUUCGGAUUGUAAAGCACGUUAAUUUGGGAGGCGUUACCAACAGAAUAAGCACCGGCUAAUUCCGUGCCAGCAGCCGCGGUAUAC